Molecule: long non-coding RNA, 2145 nt
Organism: Manis pentadactyla (Chinese pangolin)
Lineage: Eukaryota; Metazoa; Chordata; Mammalia; Pholidota; Manidae
Exons: 7
Source: RefSeq, a predicted model, not a curated record
CUGGGAAACUGUCGUCGGCCACCGUCUCGCUUACUUUUUAGCGGGCUUUGACCGUGGGUCGGAGCAACCUUGAGCGAUGGAGCUGUUAACCAGAGUUGGGUCCUUCUCGGUGAGCACAGCCGGCGGGCUUGGGGAAGUGUUGGGGAGCCGUUUGUGAGCCGGCUGAUACGUACCGGAGGCGCCUGGCUUGGCGUCCCCGGGCCUUCGCCUUGGGGCUGCCCUUAAGCUGAACCCUGCGGGCCAAGCGGGCGGCUGCUGGCUGGGUGGGUCGGGCUCUGGAGGCCCCUCUCGUGCUCUGAACGGAAGAAGCCGAACACCGGAAAACCUGAAUAGAUGGAAAGGGCUUGAGAGCGGAGGUGAGGCGGCUAGGUGGAGAGACCUCUGAAGGUCACUGCUGCACUUGGGUUCCGAAGCGAUCGCGAGGAGGGGGCCGCCGGACCUAGCCCUCAACUCUUAGCCCAUCCGCUGCGUCCUAUGCUUCUGGGGCCGUUAGUUUCCCCAACGCUUAAGUGGGCUUAUGAUCAAAAUUAUAAGAAAUGAGCUAAGGCCUGUAUAGUAACCCUUACCACUAUGUCUGGAACUUGAUUAUUAUAACGGUGACCUCGCAGAAUAAUGUGUGCUUUCUCGAUCACUUGUUCCUCUAGGGGGUCUCGGUGUGCUCUCAAGAACUACUUAAGGCUCCUCCUUCAAGCCCAAGUGAAACAAACAUAGCUGCCACUUCGGGGAAAUGCUGUAGAUGUCAGCGUAUGUUCUCGUGGAGUGGUGUUGAUCAGAGGGAGAUGGGGAACACUUAAAAAUCUCAGAGAUUUUAUUCCCUCAAAGUUGCUCCCAAAUUAAAGCCACGGUUGCCCCUUCAGGAGCACCUGCACAUCCUCAGGACAUUGAGUUUACCAGAUUACCAAACGGCUUAGUGAUUGCUUCUCUGGAAAACUAUGCUUCUUUGUCAAGAAUUGGUUUGUUCAUUAAAGCAGGCAGUAGAUACGAGGACUCCAAUAAUUUGGGAACCUCUCAUAUGCUUCGUCUUGCAUCCAGUUUGACUACAAAAGGAGCUUCAUCUUUCAAGAUAACCUGAGGAAUUGAAGCAGUUGGUGGUAAAUUAAGUGUGACUUCAACAAGGGAAAACAUGGCUUACACUGUGGAAUGCCUGCGGGAUGAUAUUGAUAUCCUAAUGGAGUUCCUUCUCAAUGUUACCACGGCACCAGAAUUUCGUCGUUGGGAAGUAGCUGCUAUUCAGUCUCAGCUAAGGAUCGACAAAGCUGUUGCUUUUCAGAAUCCACAGGCUCAUCACUGAGCCCUGGGAAGAUGCAAAUUUUCAGCAGGAAAUCAAUCAAGAUGCUGAUGGGAGGAAGAGAGAGGCCUCCUGGGAGGAAAAUCUUCUAGAAUGAGAUGGAACGUCAUGUCAUGCUCCUGGGAUCUGAAGGUACCCAGGAGUCUGUGGAGAAUAAAAAGGAACCAGAGUUUUUCCAGAUUCUGUCCCUUCCUAAGGCACUACCUGAAUUUUCAGAUGGUUUAAUUCAAAUCUCCCCUGAGGUAGAAGUUGGAGGUCCUGGUUUUUCAUGCAUUUGGUUGCCACAAUCUAGAACCAUUUGAAACUGGGUUAAGAGACUCAGAUUGGGAGGGAACUAUUUUAACAAGAUGAAAUUAGAGCCAUAGGAUUGUAAUAGAUAGCCUAUCAUAUGCCAAAAACAGCACACAUUUUGUAAAUGUUUAUUUUGAACAUGUUACCUGAAGAAUUAUAUUUAUUUUUAUAUUCUCUACUUACACACUUAUUUUAAAUAGUUUUGAAAGAGUCAUGAUUUGAAAAGAUGCUGUUCUUACAAAGUUUUGUGAUAAACAAUUGUCACUGUUACAUAUACAUACAUAAAGUUUUUGUUUCCAUUUUGCAGGAGAGGUUUCUGUGUUUUUUUCUCUUAUAUUUACAUAAUAUAUCAUUUAUGCUUACAGCGAGGUGGGUAGUUCUCUCAAGUUCCUGUAAAUACAUAUUUUUAUGUUUAGUCUUCAUUAUUAAUUUGUAAGAAUUCAGUUGUACUUUUUUAAAACUUGCCUUGAAGACUUGUUUGUAUGUUGUUUUACAUUAUGAAAGAGGGUCAUGCAGAGCAUCUGCGGGGAAAUGUAAUAAAGCUGGGAGUCUUCUCAACAUCAUAA